Molecule: long non-coding RNA, 885 nt
Filed under: Marmota monax (woodchuck)
Lineage: Eukaryota; Metazoa; Chordata; Mammalia; Rodentia; Sciuridae
Source: RNAcentral
GGGUGCUCAGGGCUCCGCUGCCCCAGCUAAGAGGGUAGCAGCUGAAGCCCUCCUCAGCGAUCUCCUGCCUUUCACUGGAGAGGGCACUUGGGGUGACCUGGAUGGAAGCAGAAGUCUGGACCCCAUCAGGAGCUGGACGCGCUUCGUAGACAAGCUCUGGUGGCUCUAGUGAGCCGCCCACCGGGUCCUUGCUUCAGUGGGGAGGAAGCCUCUGCAGUUGUUUGUGCACUUGUGAUUAAACUGAGUCACUUCCAAAGUCCCUCCAUACCCAAAAGAAAGGGAUUUGGGGUUCUCAGAUUCGGGGCAUCUGCUGUGCAAAUGUCCUGACCUCCUAAGACUCUAGAACUUUCCUUGAAGAUUCUGGGCAUCCGUGACAACACCCCUCAGACCUCCCGCACACGCUCCUGCGUCCUCUGGCUGCCCAUGGUCCUCCUGCCCUCUGGUCCCACCCACCCAGCAGUGCCCACCACAUGCCCCCUCUCAAGCUCCACAGGGGGGAGAUCAGAUAUGGGCCGGGUGCAGGGGACAGGCGGGCUCCUGGUUAGGCCAGAUGUGCUGAGUGCCCACCUGUACUUUGAAGGAAAGUACCAAAGCAGGGACAGGUAGCAGCAGCCCACACCCUCCCUUUGGUUGCUGGACAGGCCUCCAGGCUCUGUGGGAUCCUGGCUGCUUGGUCCUUGUCCCUGUCCUGUUCUUCAUUCACCUUCGAUGAGACACACACACCCGUGCCCUCUGCAGCAGGUGGGCAGGAAGGAGCAACCCCGCUUCCUACACCGGCCAGAUCCUCACUCAGCAGAGGCACGACUCAGGCUUCAAGAGGACGCCUGCCCCUCCCAGGGGCGGCACCCAUGCUGCUAACUCACCGCUGUGGUGUCCCACUCCUCU